This 253-nucleotide ribosomal RNA is filed under the name uncultured bacterium. RNAcentral describes it as "partial 16S ribosomal RNA". It matches the Rfam family "Bacterial small subunit ribosomal RNA", at positions 524 to 776 of the family's 1533-position model. The record is from RNAcentral.
UACAGAGGGUGCGAGCGUUAAUCGGAAUUACUGGGCGUAAAGCGCGCGUAGGCGGCUUUUCAAGUCGAUUGUGAAAUCCCCGGGCUCAACCCGGGAACUGCGUCCGAUACUGGAAGGCUUGAAUUCGGGAGAGGGAUGCGGAAUUCCAGGUGUAGCGGUGAAAUGCGUAGAUAUCUGGAGGAACACCGGUGGCGAAGGCGGCAUCCUGGACCGGCAUUGACGCUGAGGCGCGAAAGCCAGGGGAGCAAACGGG